GGGGAGAAGUGGGACCUCCGAGACCUGUAGGUGGUGCUGCACCAGGGGUACUAGUUGGGGGAGGAGCUCCUCCCACUAGAGGGGAGGAGCCCACUGGAGGAGGUGUUGCAUCUUGAGGAGGUCCCGCUACAUCUGGAGGAGGUGUUGCUGCUUGAGUAGGUCCUGCUACAACCGGAGGAGGUGUUGCUGCUUGAGGAGGUUCUGUUACAACUGGAGGAGGUGUUGCGGCUUGAGUAGGUCCUGCUACAACCGGAGGAGGUGUUGCUGCUUGAGGAGGUUCUGUUACAACUGGAGGAGGUGUUGCGACUUGAGGAGGUUCAACUGUCGCUGGAGGCACCGCUAUCAAUUACAGUGCAUAAGAAGAACUCAGUACCACUUCGAAUUAUUCUUCAAGCAGAGUGGCACAAGGUCCAUACUAAGCAAAGAGUUCUCUCACAGGAAUAUCCAUCAAAACCUUCAUCACAAUAUCAAUUAAAACCUUGCACGAUGAUUGCCACGUAUUUGUGCGAUUAACCAAAGACUGGACCCGGUACUGAAUGUCAUUCAUAUGGUAAUUUCACAAAUGGGUUGCUUUCAGCUGUGCGUUGCCUGUGGUGAAGAAAUAAUCACAAGUACGUAGCCUGAAUCGCUGCAGAAACUCUCCUAAUAUGUUGAAAUCAAAGUUAUGGGACAAAGUUUGUGUGAACGAUCCAUACAAGGAGCAGUCGACUGCAGUAGCCCCCGACGUCCGCCAACAGCCACAGCUCUAUCUCCGAUCACUGUAAACAUUGGAGAGAAGAAAAAUCUCUUAGUAAAGUUUAGAGUGCAAAUCGUAAUGUAAUUAGCUACUCCAAAGCACAAUGUGUCUGAUUUUCUUUGUGAGUUGAUCUUCAUGGUGACUGAUAGAGCUCAUUG
This 894-nucleotide long non-coding RNA is filed under the name Physcomitrium patens. Its description in RNAcentral is "long non-coding RNA (PPAT_LNC012570)". Lineage: Eukaryota; Viridiplantae; Streptophyta; Bryopsida; Funariales; Funariaceae. The record is from RNAcentral.